GGUUGUGGCUCAGUGGUAAAGCUCUUGCCUUUCAAAUGUGAGGCACUGGGUUUGAUCCUCAGCACCA
This 67-nucleotide transfer RNA is filed under the name Marmota monax (woodchuck). RNAcentral describes it as "tRNA.Glu". Lineage: Eukaryota; Metazoa; Chordata; Mammalia; Rodentia; Sciuridae. The record is from RNAcentral.